GGACGGGUGAGUAACACGUGGAUAACCUACCUAUAAGACUGGGAUAACUUCGGGAAACCGGAGCUAAUACCGGAUAAUAUUUUGAACCGCAUGGUUCAAAAGUGAAAGACGGUCUUGCUGUCACUUAUAGAUGGACCCGCGCUGCAUUAGCUAGUUGGUAAGGUAACGGCUUACCAAGGCAACGAUGCAUAGCCGACCUGAGAGGGUGAUCGGCCACACUGGAACUGAGACACGGUCCAG
Molecule: ribosomal RNA, 240 nt
Filed under: uncultured Staphylococcus sp.
Lineage: Bacteria; Bacillati; Bacillota; Bacilli; Caryophanales; Staphylococcaceae
Description: partial 16S ribosomal RNA
Rfam family: Bacterial small subunit ribosomal RNA
Source: RNAcentral